This 468-nucleotide ribosomal RNA is filed under the name uncultured bacterium. RNAcentral describes it as "partial 16S ribosomal RNA". It matches the Rfam family "Bacterial small subunit ribosomal RNA", at positions 28 to 507 of the family's 1533-position model. The record is from RNAcentral.
GACGAACGCUGGCGGCGUGCUUAACACAUGCGAGUCGAACGGAAAGGCCCUGCUUUUGUGGGGUUCUCGAGUGGCGAACGGGUGAGUAACACGUGAGUAACCUGCCCUUGACUUUGGGAUAACUUCAGGAAACUGGGGCUAAUACCGGAUAGGAGCUCCUGCUGCAUGGUGGGGGUUGGAAAGUUUCGGCGGUUGGGGAUGGACUCGCGGCUUAUCAGCUUGUUGGUGGGGUAGUGGCUUACCAAGGCUUUGGCGGGUAGCCGGCCUGAGAGGGUGACCGGCCACAUUGGGACUGAGAUACGGCCCAGACUCCUACGGGAGGCAGCAGUGGGGAAUAUUGCACAAUGGGCGGAAGCCUGAUGCAGCAACGCCGCGUGCGGGAUGACGGCCUUCGGGUUGUAAACCGCUUUCGCCUGUGACGAAGCGUGAGUGGCGGUAAUGGGUAAAGAAGCACCGGCUAACUACGUG